AUGGUCGAGGUUAUAUGUGUGUCUCCACAGAUCGUGGUCCAGGGCGCAGGGGCGUAUGACCCACGUAAUUGGUCAGCAUGGACGAAUGUUACCCCCACCGCAGGAUACUAUACCUAUCAGGGAAGGAACCCCUUUUGCGGCACCAAUGAUUCGGCUAAAUACCAUAAUGAGGUACCUGUCCUGGUUCCCACGGCCCUCGGGGCCUACGGGGGAGGCUGGUCCGGACAGGGGCCUCACGUAUGGAACAAUGAUACCCCGAAGGCCUUGCCACCAGAUGUCUUUUUGAUAUGUGGUGACAGGGCCUGGCAGGGAAUUCCAAAAAACGUAAUGGGUGGCCCAUGUUAUCUUGGCAAAUUGACACUGCUGGCGCCAGAUAAAAAUUGGUGGAAAAAUAUAACAGGGAACAAGGCCGCCACCUGUAGUAAAUGGGCGGCCACAGGGCUUUCACCAAAUUGUAAUGAUAAGGUUACCCUACUCAGUCCUACUGAAAGAGUGUUUUUGUCUCUCUUCGUGCCUGGGGCAGCAGCAGGUAACACCUUAAACCAAAUAGGACGAUUGGCUUGUUGGGCAGAGAAGCAAGCUAACGUCACCACUGAGGUAAUAGAGAGCCUGUUAGAGGACCAAAGUAGUCUGCGUCAUGCCGUUCUGCAAAAUAGGGCUGCAAUUGAUUUUUUGUUAUUAGCUCAAGGUCAUGGUUGUGAGGAUUUUGAAGGUAUGUGYUGCAUGAAUUUGUCUGAUCAUAGUGAAUCCAUUCACAAACAAUUGCAGUGGUUGAAGGAGCAUGCAAGUAAAAUCCGUCAGAACCAUGGGCYRUUAGAYGAAUGGCUAACUAACCURUUUGGAAAYCUACCACAGUGGCUAAUAGRGUUGCUUACUGAAGGCUUAYGCAUMUUAAURAUCCUUGUAGUYAUAGGUUUGUGUUUAUGUGUAGUAUUAAGCUGUGUUAAGAAAGCUCUGCUGAAAGUAGUGAACCAAGCCUGGAUUGCUCAAAAACAAGAAGGGGGAAUUGUGGAAGAAUGGUUAAGUGAAAAGGGGCAUGAUCUCUUAGAAGUGAGCAAUCCUGUCUUCACGAUGGAGGGAGGAUCCCACAGCUAUGCGAGCUGUCCUUGA
This 1110-nucleotide long non-coding RNA is filed under the name Apteryx haastii (Great spotted kiwi). Its description in RNAcentral is "lncRNA (ENSAHAG00000004955.1)". Lineage: Eukaryota; Metazoa; Chordata; Aves; Apterygiformes; Apterygidae. The record is from RNAcentral.